This 1714-nucleotide long non-coding RNA is filed under the name Nicotiana benthamiana. Its description in RNAcentral is "long non-coding RNA (NBEN_LNC035902)". Lineage: Eukaryota; Viridiplantae; Streptophyta; Magnoliopsida; Solanales; Solanaceae. The record is from RNAcentral.
UCCAGCUGCCUUUGAAUGCUCUCCCUCUCUCAAACUCUCUCGAAGGUUCCUCAAAACCCUAGCAUCUCUCAUCCUCUCCGACCAUGAUCUCGCCAGAAUCCAUGGCUUCUCAGACCAUGGAUGGCCUGUACGAGUACCCCAUCCACCAUUAAACCCUGGUUGUUCGAAGCUUCAAGGUCUGACCUCGAUGGUGUUCUUUCAAAUAUUCUUGGAUUCAUGGCUUCAAGGCCUUUCCAGCUCUACUCCGGCAUAUCCAAGCAUCAGGAGCCUAUUCCUAACCUCGCCGACUCAAGAUCAGACUUUCUUCCAAGCCGUUCUCAUUUCUAGGGUUUCUAUGAAACCCUAAGCUAUUAGAGGUUUUUCUAUGGUUGUUUUCUUAAAUCUAUGCUAUAUCUCUGUUAUGCUGAAGCUUUAAAACGUUUUCCAAAAUCUUUUCUUUCAAAAUUUAUUUCUUUUCGAUUUAGGGUUUCUAAAAAAUUUCAAAAUGUUUCUCUGACUCUUCCUCUUCUUUUCUUUAUGUGUAUCUAUCUAUACUGUGUUUUAUAUUCUCUUUUCUGCCUCACAUGUCCCUCUCUUGUGUUUUUAUGUUUGCCUUAUUAUGCUUCUUUUUCUAUUAUGCUCCGCUCUUCCUUCUACUGGUUUCUAUAUCAUGCUUUCACGCAUUUGUCUUAUGUGUUCGUUUGCCCUCAUAUUUCUUUACUGUAUUUGCUACUAAGCUCUUAGUUCCUCAUUUUGCCUUCUUCUGGACUUUGUUUGAAGUUCUUUCUAGACAUGUUCCAUUUACUGUUUCCUUAAGUUUAUACUACCUCUUUGUCCUCUGAACUUGUUUAAGUUCCAAGCUUUUCUUAAAACAUGUUCUUUAUGCUUCAAAUUAGCAACACUAUGUUUGUUUCGAACCUGCUAUUUUACCUCUUUGUUUUCUCAUGAGUCUCUGAAAGUGACCUAUGAGCCUGUUUCAGUUAUUUGUCUUCUUGUCUUUGCAUCUGACUCUAGUUGAAAACCCUAGGAUUUGGGAUUUUUUGGCGAGUUUGGUCUUAUGUUUGGAUUAGGGUUCUAUUAUGGGACCCUGGAUUCUCUCAAACAAAGUCUGAGCCUAUGUAGUGAAUCUGAGCCCCUUUGUUUAUGACUUUGAACUUUUCUAUGCUAGAUUUUUUCUAAUUAGCUUGACUGUUCUUGCUUGUUUGACAUGUUUGUAUGCUUUAUAUAUGAGGAAUUCUUCCAUUAAAAAGGGUUUUGCCAAUUUGUGAUUGAUUCAGAAUUCCUUUUAAUAAGGUUUGAUUGAUUGUUACUGAUUUUCUUUAAUUAAACCUUUCCUCACCUUUUCUGGUUAGAUAGAUUCAUACCAAAAACUCAAUUUCUGAUUUUUACUGGAUGUUGAUUGAUUCCCUUUCCUUAUUUGCACAAACUGUGUUGCUAUCAAACUCUUUCCUUAAACAGUUUUUGUGUAUUUGCCCUUCUUGUACUACUUUGAAAGAUUUUGAUCAAAUUCUUUCCUUAUUUAUUCUACCCGCUUGAAAUCAGAAUCCCUUAAUCAUAGGGAGGCCUUAUGUAAUUGAUUUCAAAACUCUUUUCUUACCUUUUCCUUACUUGCUUUCUGUGCUAUAAAGGGCACGACCUUUCAGCACUUUAAGACAUCUGGAGUCCACUACUCUAACACUUAUUGAGCACUUUCAAUUUCAAUAUUCUUGCACCCUCACUCUCUUCUAAAAUCUUC